UAAAGUCUCUGUCUUCUAGAAUAUGGAUUUGUUGAUUUUCAUAAGCUAUCAGAUCGAUGGAAAACAAGUCCCUUCAUCUUCAUGAUCAUUUGAAACUUCAAUUAACGCAGUAAGUUCUUCUUGCAAAUAUAUAGGAAAUCCAUUAUUUAUUGAUUAAUUAUUUCAUUUUCUUCAUCUUAAUUGGAGCUACACACACACACACACACACAUAUGGUUUCAGGUUCAAUUUGUGCAGUUUUACAGUCGAGAGCUCAAGCUUCCAGGGAACAACUCCUUAAUCUUAAUUCAACUUCAACUGAAACCAGAUCCUUUGAAGCCAGUGACCUCUUGAUCUGACGACUUCCAUUGCAGCUGUGACUACUUCUGAGUCUUGAUUGGUAUUGUUGGACGGAUCAAACUUCCAAUGCAAGAAACUAUGGGGGGAGAGGCUUUUCUUGUGGCAUUCCUUCAAGUGCUGGUUGACAAGUUGGCACAACGCGAGGUCUUCAAGUACUUUGGACUUGUAAAGGGCGUAGAUCAAAAACUGAAGAAAUGGAGUGCCACCUUGUCUGCAAUUGGAGUGGUGCUGAAUGCCGCAGAGGAGAGGCAACUGAUGGUUGAGAACAACGCACUGAAACUCUGGCUAGAUGAUCUCAGGGACUUGGCUUUUGAUGUGGAAGACUUGUUGGACAAAUAUGCUACUAAAAUGUUGAAUCGUCAGACACAACAUGCUGAUUCCAGCACAACAAGCAAAGUAUGGAACUCAAUUCCUAAUGGUGUUUUCAACUUCAACAUGAACUCAGAAAUAUAGAAGAUUAGUGAGCGAUAAGGAGUUAGCGGGGAAGAAGUUUUUAAUUGUUUAGAUGAUGUUUGGAAAACGUGUAGCUAAGGUGAAUGGAUGAAACUGCAGUCCCCUUUUCGUGAUGGAGAACAAGGAAGCAAGAUAAUUGUGACAACACAUGAUACAGAUGUUUCAAAAAUGAUGGGAGCUGCCACGCUGGUUCACAAUUUGGAGCCUAUGGAAAGUAAUGUUUGUUUGCAAGUAUUUGAGCAGCAUGCAUUCUUAAAUUCUAACGAAGACAAACCACCAAAUUACGAGUUGCUUAAGGAGAAAAUUGUUGCCAAGUGUAGGGGAUUGUCUUUGGCCGCAAGGACCCUCGGUGGUGUUCUACUUCAUAAAGACACAUACGAAUGGGAGGACAUAUUGAACAACAAACUGUGGAGUCUAUCAAAUGAGCAUGGGAUACUUCCAGUACUGAGAUUAACCUACUUUUAUCUUCCUUCACAUUUGAAAAAUGCUUUGCCUAUUGCUCAAUA
Malus domestica (apple) is the source of this 1296-nucleotide non-coding RNA. The record is from RefSeq and is a predicted model, not a curated record. Lineage: Eukaryota; Viridiplantae; Streptophyta; Magnoliopsida; Rosales; Rosaceae.